AACGAACGCUGGCGGCAUGCCUAACACAUGCAAGUCGAACGAAGCCUUCGGGCUUAGUGGCGAACGGGUGAGUAACGCGUGGGAACCUGCCCCCGAGUGGGGAACAACCGCUGGAAACGGCGGCUAAUACCGCAUACGCCUCUUCGGAGGGAAAGCUUUAUGCGCUCAGGGAGGGUCCCGCGUCCGAUUAGCUAGUUGGAGGGGUAACGGCCCACCAAGGCGACGAUCGGUAGCUGGUCUGAGAGGAUGAUCAGCCACACUGGGACUGAGACACGGCCCAG
Molecule: ribosomal RNA, 281 nt
Filed under: uncultured bacterium
Lineage: Bacteria
Description: partial 16S ribosomal RNA
Rfam family: Bacterial small subunit ribosomal RNA
Source: RNAcentral